GAUGAACGCUAGCUACAGGCUUAACACAUGCAAGUCGAGGGGAAACGACAUCGAAAGCUUGCUUUUGAUGGGCGUCGACCGGCGCACGGGUGAGUAACGCGUAUCCAACCUGCCCAUCACUUGGGAAUAACCUUGCGAAAGUAAGACUAAUACCCAAUGAUAUCCCACGAAGGCAUCGGAAUGGGAUUAAAGAUUUAUCGGUGAUGGAUGGGGAUGCGUCUGAUUAGCUUGUUGGCGGGGUAACGGCCCACCAAGGCAACGAUCAGUAGGGGUUCUGAGAGGAAGGUCCCCCACAUUGGAACUGAGACACGGUCCAAACUCCUACGGGAGGCAGCAGUGAGGAAUAUUGGUCAAUGGGCGAGAGCCUGAACCAGCCAAGUAGCGUGCAGGAAGACGGCCCUAUGGGUUGUAAACUGCUUUUAUAAGGGGAUAAAGUGGGUCACGUGUGACUUUUUGCAUGUACCUUAUGAAUAAGGACCGGCUAAUUCCGUG
RNAcentral lists this ribosomal RNA (492 nucleotides) under uncultured bacterium. Its description in RNAcentral is "partial 16S ribosomal RNA". It matches the Rfam family "Bacterial small subunit ribosomal RNA", at positions 28 to 507 of the family's 1533-position model. The record is from RNAcentral.